RNAcentral lists this long non-coding RNA (1016 nucleotides) under Homo sapiens (human). RNAcentral's name for it is "HSALNT0345215". Lineage: Eukaryota; Metazoa; Chordata; Mammalia; Primates; Hominidae. The record is from RNAcentral.
CUGGCUCGUUGUUAAUUAUACUUGCCUUGGUUUUUGGACCAUAUUUAUUAAAUACAUUAACCAAAUUAAUUUCCUCUCGCCUAGAGACCAUCAAGCUUCAGAUGAUCAUGCAACAAGGUUUCCAGCCAGUUCAGGUGAAGACACCACUACUGGCCAUCAAGAAGCUACCCUGUAUCCACUAGACAGAGCAGAGUGAGAGUUCUGUGAUCCCAAAUAGUGUUCUGAGGUUGAUCUUGGGAGGAAUUAUGUCUCUCCCUCCGCCAAAUUCAUGUGUUGAUGUCCCAACCCUCAGUACCUCCAUAGGCUAUUUGGAGCUAGGAUCUUUAAAGAGAGAUGUUCACCUUAAGAGGACAGAUCUGCAGGUACCACCCGAUCCGUAACUCGGUGAUUCCAAAGAGAAGAACAUACCUUUCUAAUGGAGAUGUCUGGUGAUCACCACCAUAGCCGAGGGAUAGCAGUGCGGCACCCGGACGUGCUGAGCUGCAGACACAAUGACAGGUGCACUUCCCCUGGGAGGCGGUCUUUCCCAGCACCCUUAACUCGAAUCUAAGCAUGAGGAAGCCAUCGGUCAGGUCCUCAACGGAGGAGUGUUGCAGGGAGAUUUUCUACAGGCUAGAGGCCUGGACUCUCCUAAUAAUCCAAUGCCAUGUAAAACAAAACAAAAGCAAGAAGGCAGGAGGACCACCGUAGACUAAAAGAGGCUAAAGCGAUGUAACCACCAAAUGUGAGACAUGAAAACUGAUUAAAUCUCCAAUCAGGAAUAACAUGCCACAGAAGACAUUUGGGAAGAGACAUGAACAUGGUUGUACAGGAGAUGACAUUAUUGAGUUAAGUUGAUAUUCUUAGAUAGGAUAAUCGUGACGGUUAUGGAGGAACACGUCCUUUCUCUCCACAGUCGUGUAUUGAAACUUGGAAGAUUAACUGUUAUAAUAGCUGCAGGUUACUUUCAAUUGUUUAUGACAACCUGGGUGUACCUAUAUUUAUUAUAUGUACUGUGUGUAUGCAUGUGUUAUGUA